Molecule: ribosomal RNA, 427 nt
Filed under: uncultured bacterium
Lineage: Bacteria
Description: bacterial SSU rRNA
Rfam family: Bacterial small subunit ribosomal RNA
Source: RNAcentral
AGUAAGGAAUAUUGGUCAAUGGACGAAAGUCUGAACCAGCCAUGCCGCGUGGAGGAUGAAGGUCCUCUGGAUUGUAAACUUCUUUUAUAUGGGACGAAAAAAGGCCUUUCUAGGUCGUCUGACGGUACCAUAUGAAUAAGCACCGGCUAACUCCGUGCCAGCAGCCGCGGUAAUACGGAGGGUGCAAGCGUUAUCCGGAUUCACUGGGUUUAAAGGGUGCGUAGGUGGGUUGGUAAGUCAGUGGUGAAAUCUCCGAGCUUAACUUGGAAACUGCCAUUGAUACUAUCAGUCUUGAAUAUUGUGGAGGUUAGCGGAAUAUGUCAUGUAGCGGUGAAAUGCUUAGAUAUGACAUAGAACACCAAUUGCGAAGGCAGCUGGCUACACAUAUAUUGACACUGAGGCACGAAGAGCGUGGGGAUCAAACAGG